AAAAAAAAAAAAAAAAAAAGAAAUUAAACAAUAUGAUCUGUGCGAAAUUUUCAUUGGAGAUGCAUCUUUGAUAAUUUAUUAUUAAAUUUUCUGAAAAUAUGAACGAUCUCAAAAUGGGAUAUUAUUGUUAUAGCAUGACUGAGCAAUGCAAUACGAUGGUUUUCGUCUUUUGAAAUUUUUCGGUAGUUGAAUAUUAGCAAUUCUGAGCCUUUCCCUUGACUUGGUUUUACUUAUUUUGUUGGUUGCUCUGACAAUGUUGUUUGUUGGUCCUUUUCUGAAUUUUAGUUUAGUUCCCUCCCAUGGCUUGGCUGUGCUAAAAUUGUCAAUAAAAGGAUUUCGUAAGCUUUAUUUCGGAUGUAUUUUUGUAGUUAGGUUGUGUUAUAGCCUUAAAACUAAUGACCGGGCGGUGGAACUAACAAAAAGACUUGGGGUGUUGUAUUGCUGUUGUGGUGUGUUCAUAUUUUUGUGGUGGGAAUAUCAUAUUGCCCUUUGAAGUGAACUUGCUUUACUUGUGGAGGAAGGCUACGAGCAAACAUCUAUUAAUCAAAUUUGUGUACGGCAAUGAUCCUUGAUUUGAAGACCAAGAGUUAUCUCUAAUGUAUUACUCUUCUUGUUGGUCUUUUACAAAAAUUAGAAAUCUAAUUCUUGCGGUAACUUGGUGUUUUGGUUCUUCUCCUGCCCUGUCUCUAUUGCUUGGUAGGAAAAAACAGCCAAUUAGUAACCCACAGAUGUUGACAUACGCAUUAACUGCUGUUAAAAAUUCGCAAAUUUGGUAAAUUUGUAUGUUGGGUUCAAUUACUUUAUUGAAAUUAAAAAAAAAAAAUUUUAAAUUGCUUUUAAUUGAUUAAAUUAGUUGUUAAUUUUCAAAACAUGUCUUGUAUACUUGGUUCGGGAAAUGACAUGGAAUAAAGAAUAGUGUGUCAGGCAGAAACAGAAUAGUUGUUUUAUGUUUUAUAUGUAUUUCUAUAUUUAAAUCUUACAUUAAAUUGAGUGCGAAAUGGCAUUCUGGAGAUUGCUUAGUGAAAUAAUAAAUAUUCCUUUUCUACUUUAUUUUAUUCUAUGAUUAAUAUUUGGGAUAAGUGGGGUGAGCAUAUUUUGUUGCAUGUGAUUAUUUUGUUCCACUGUUGUCCGGAACUUGAUAUAGCUUCAAAAUUCAUCAACUUUAAUAAUGUUGUGAAAUAAUUACUGUGUUUUAAUAUUGUUUAUUGAAAUUAAUUUUGUGAUUUUUUUAAAAAUUUAUUAUUUAUAGAAUACUAAAAGUUAAUUUAAAUUAAAUUUUAUCUGUUUAUUAUAAAAACAAUAAAAUAAUUAAGCUGAGUAUAAACCGUGAAAGGGCACUUAAUAAGCAAUGACAUCUAAAUAUGUGGGGCAUAAAAUAAUACGACAAUUAAUUUUUCACUAAUGCUAUGAAAUUUAUUUAUAAAUUCAUAAUUCGUAC
RNAcentral lists this unclassified non-coding RNA (1438 nucleotides) under Hevea brasiliensis (rubber tree). Lineage: Eukaryota; Viridiplantae; Streptophyta; Magnoliopsida; Malpighiales; Euphorbiaceae. The record is from RNAcentral.